GACGAACGCUGGCGGCGUGCUUAACACAUGCAAGUCGAACGGAAAGGCCCUGCUUUUGUGGGGUGCUCGAGUGGCGAACGGGUGAGUAACACGUGAGUAACCUGCCCUUGACUUUGGGAUAACUUCAGGAAACUGGGGCUAAUACCGGAUAGGAGCUCCUGCUGCAUGGUGGGGGUUGGAAAGUUUCGGCGGUUGGGGAUGGACUCGCGGCUUAUCAGCUUGUUGGUGGGGUAGUGGCUUACCAAGGCAUUGACGGGUAGCCGGCCUGAGAGGGUGACCGGCCACAUUGGGACUGAGAUACGGCCCAGACUCCUACGGGAGGCAGGAGUGGGGAAUAUUGCACAAUGGGCGGAAGCCUGAUGCAGCAACGCCGCGUGCGGGAUGACGGCCUUCGGGUUGUAAACCGCUUUCGCCUGUGACGAAGCGUGAGUGACGGUAAUGGGUAAAGAAGCACCGGCUAACUACGUG
This 468-nucleotide ribosomal RNA is filed under the name uncultured bacterium. RNAcentral describes it as "partial 16S ribosomal RNA". It matches the Rfam family "Bacterial small subunit ribosomal RNA", at positions 28 to 507 of the family's 1533-position model. The record is from RNAcentral.